AUCUCUGAAUCAUGUGAAUGUGGCUUAAGUUUAUUGAAACGAUCGUCUCAAAAUGGUGACUGGAAUGUAUUAUGAUCUGAUCAACUAAAUAAUUACUUAUUUAAACGAGCUCUUCUUUAAUUAUUCUUUAAAAAAAAAAUCUUUUAUAUUUAUUUAUAAUUUAUCGUAAACGUUCACAUAAUUAUUUGACCAUUAAUAAGUGUUUACGUAGUGUAUAACAUUAAGCUAAAGAAAAAUACACAGAAAUCCUUGUAAUAAGAUAAAAAGUAUUCAAGUUUGAUCAUUGGAGCUUUUGAUUCAAUUCGAGAAACAUUCUCAACAAAUUCAUACAAUAAGAAGAUGAUGCUGUACUUUGGUGAGGAAUUUUAAAACGAGACAACACUGAGGUAUUCUAAAUGUCAGCUACAUAAGGAGGACAACAACAUCUGAAAGGGUUUCGAUUGGUAACGAAAGGUUUUUAUAAGUAAAAAACUAAAGCGCUAUCAUCAUUUUUGAAACUUUUACACCGUGUUGCUCUGGCAUCUCUCACGGCCACCUAUACCGACUCGGAGGGCGAGGACGGGGUGGAUGACGACCUUCAGGAGAAUUCAAACACUCCCCAGGGGGCCGCCCCGCAAAAUGCCCAAGUCGGUCAGCCCCGGGCUCUCAC
This 649-nucleotide unclassified non-coding RNA is filed under the name Chelonus insularis. Its description in RNAcentral is "sAP30-binding protein, transcript variant X1". Lineage: Eukaryota; Metazoa; Arthropoda; Insecta; Hymenoptera; Braconidae. The record is from RNAcentral.